UACGGGGGGGGCAAGCGUUGUUCGGAAUUACUGGGCGUAAAGGGCUCGUAGGCGGCCAACUAAGUCUGACGUGAAAUCCCUCGGCUUAACCGGGGAACUGCGUCUGAUACUGGAUGGCUUGAGUUCGGGAGAGGGAUGCGGAAUUCCAGGUGUAGCGGUGAAAUGCGUAGAUAUCUGGAGGAACACCGGUGGCGAAGGCGGCAUCCUGGACCGACACUGACGCUGAGGAGCGAAAGCCAGGGGAGCAAACGGG
RNAcentral lists this ribosomal RNA (253 nucleotides) under uncultured bacterium. RNAcentral's name for it is "partial 16S ribosomal RNA". It matches the Rfam family "Bacterial small subunit ribosomal RNA", at positions 524 to 776 of the family's 1533-position model. The record is from RNAcentral.